This 433-nucleotide ribosomal RNA is filed under the name uncultured bacterium. RNAcentral's name for it is "partial 16S ribosomal RNA". It matches the Rfam family "Bacterial small subunit ribosomal RNA", at positions 29 to 507 of the family's 1533-position model. The record is from RNAcentral.
AACGAACGCUGGCGGCAUGCCUAACACAUGCAAGUCGAACGAGACCUUCGGGUCUAGUGGCGCACGGGUGCGUAACGCGUGGGAACCUGCCCUUAGGUUCGGAAUAACUCCCCGAAAGGGGUGCUAAUACCGGAUAAUGUCUUCGGACCAAAGAUUUAUCGCCUUUGGAUGGGCCCGCGUUGGAUUAGCUAGUUGGUAGGGUAAAAGCCUACCAAGGCGACGAUCCAUAGCUGGUCUGAGAGGAUGAUCAGCCACACUGUGAGUGAGACACGGCCCAGACUCCUACGGGAGGCAGCAGUGGGGAAUAUUGGACAAUGGGCGAAAGCCUGAUCCAGCAAUGCCGCGUGAGUGAUGAAGGCCUUAGGGUUGUAAAGCUCUUUUACCCGGGAUGAUAAUGACAGUACCGGGAGAAUAAGCUCCGGCUAACUCCGUG